CAGUCGCCGCGGGAAUACGGAGGGAGCUAGCGUUGUUCGGAAUCACUGGGCGUAAAGGGCGCGUAGGCGGCCUGUUAAGUCGGAUGUGAAAGCCCGGGGCUCAACCCCGGAACUGCAUCCGAGACUGGCAGGCUUGAGACCGGGAGAGGAGGGUGGAAUAUCCAGUGUAGAGGUGAAAUUCGUAGAUAUUGGAUGGAACACCGGUGGCGAAAGCGGCUCUCUGGCCCGGAUCUGACGCUGAGGCGCGAAAGCGUGGGGAGCAAACAGGAUUAGAUACCCCCGUAGUCCCUGUCUCUUAUAC
RNAcentral lists this ribosomal RNA (301 nucleotides) under uncultured bacterium. RNAcentral's name for it is "partial 16S ribosomal RNA". It matches the Rfam family "Bacterial small subunit ribosomal RNA", at positions 509 to 807 of the family's 1533-position model. The record is from RNAcentral.